Molecule: non-coding RNA, 57 nt
Filed under: Erythrolobus australicus
Lineage: Eukaryota; Rhodophyta; Bangiophyceae; Porphyridiales; Porphyridiaceae
Source: RNAcentral
GUUGUAUUCUUCUUCUUCUUUCGUUCCUUCUUUUCUUCUUUUUUCCUUUCUCUCUUU